Molecule: ribosomal RNA, 253 nt
Filed under: uncultured bacterium
Lineage: Bacteria
Description: partial 16S ribosomal RNA
Rfam family: Bacterial small subunit ribosomal RNA
Source: RNAcentral
GACGUAGGGCGCGAGCGUUGUCCGGAUUUAUUGGGCGUAAAGAGCUCGUAGGCGGCUUGUCGCGUCGACCGUGAAAACUCGCAGCUCAACUGCGAGCCUGCGGUCGAUACGGGCAGGCUAGAGUUCGGUAGGGGAGACUGGAAUUCCUGGUGUAGCGGUGGAAUGCGCAGAUAUCAGGAGGAACACCGGUGGCGAAGGCGGGUCUCUGGGCAGUAACUGACGCUGAGGAGCGAAAGCCAGGGGAGCAAACGGG